This is a long non-coding RNA of Aedes aegypti (yellow fever mosquito), 379 nucleotides long. RefSeq lists it as uncharacterized. The record is from RefSeq and is a predicted model, not a curated record. Lineage: Eukaryota; Metazoa; Arthropoda; Insecta; Diptera; Culicidae. The transcript has 3 exons.
AGUAAACGAAGACAACGACUCUGCUUACACUUACCAUUUGCAUGGGUACUCGUUUUUCGUAAUUGCAUCGACUCGAAUGACUCAACAUGAGAAUUGGCAGACUCAGCUGCUUAAUUUGGGGCGUAACUAUGAUCGACCCGUCCUACUAGACACAGUCAGAAUAGAGAGCAAUUCGAUGGUAGUACUGCGAUUCGUCGCUUCAAAUGCAGGACUAUGGAUGCUGCGAGACCUUGAUGCAGAGCAUGAGUGGAGUCGAGGACUUGAUGUACUGUUGAAUGUAAGAGCUUCAGAGACUGAAAUCAAUUUUCCGGAUGAUUUUCCCAAGUGUAGGCAUUUUGUUGGACCAAAGUAUUUUCUGAUAUAGACAUAAUUUAUAAAA